RNAcentral lists this long non-coding RNA (2533 nucleotides) under Callithrix jacchus (white-tufted-ear marmoset). RNAcentral's name for it is "lncRNA (ENSCJAG00000078011.1)". The record is from RNAcentral. Lineage: Eukaryota; Metazoa; Chordata; Mammalia; Primates; Cebidae.
AUGGGAGCUCGCGAGCGGGCGGGAGGCGGUGCCGCCGGGCGGGCGGGCGGUGGCGUCGGGAGCCGGCGCGGCAGACGGGGAGCCCGGGAGGAGCCGGCGGAGCGAGAGGAGGAGGAGGACGGCGGAGGAGCGCCGCGCCCCCGCCGGCCGCCCGAGCGCAGGCCGAGAGCUCCAGCCGCAGCCGGAGGGUCCGGGCCGCCUCCGCCGGAGCCCGGCGCGGGGAGAGUCCGGGCCGAUGGGCAGCUCCGGGCAGCGGCGGGCGGCGAGGCGGCAGCCCCGGUACGCGCCACCCGGCGCGCACAGGCUGUAGCAGGUCCGGGAGGACGGCGUUGCGAAGCCUCCACCCACCGCCAUCUUCAGCUUGAAACUUCUUUACAAAGAUAGCAUCCCAAAGGCAUCAUUCGUGAAGCCGAACAGUUUUGAAAACAGCAAGGGAAGUUACUCGCUUUUUUCCAGUGAACCCUAUGGGCAGUGGAACUCUAAGGUAAUUGUCAAUUAUGGUGGAAAGUAAUAUUUUCUUUUGGUUAACAUAUUUGGACCCAUUCGAUCCUCUGUACUGGCAUUAGAAAGAUGAUUUCCAUCUAUGCUUAAUGAAAAUGGGUUUUAUUUUCUUUGAAACAUUUAAAGAAAUAAAAGCUUAAAUUCCAAAUAUUCCUAAAAGUCAGGCUCUCCUUUUGGAACGAGCAUUGGAAGGAAAUGGUCAUUUGUAGUACAGACUCUACCUAAACAUAGUCCACCACUCCCUCCCUAUUGAAAGUCAGACAAUUUAUAUGAAAGUCAGGAAUUUGAAAUCCUCUUUUGUUGGGGGGAGCACAAAAGAUGACUUUUGCAGACCCAGAGCAGAGUUUGAGCUGGGUGGAAUGAGAUUAGUGUGCUAGGGGGAACAUCCGGACCUCUGGCCUUCUCUCCUCUGUGGGGAAGGUGACAGCUGAAAGGAGUCAGAAGCCGCCUGGUGCAGCCGUGACAGCCCAGCACAAAGGGUGGCAUGCUUUCUGACCUCCCGCUGCCCUUUGCUAGACCUUCAAUUGUAGUUGGGGCCCAGACUUUGCAUUUUUCUCUUUUAUGGCUUAAUUUAAUUUUAUUUCUAGCCAGUUUAUUAGAGUGAAGGCCUCCUUCGUUGCCCCAAGGCUUUGCGCCUGUUGGACUGGAAAUUAGAUGAGCUGGGGGGUAAGUAUUCUUUGUAUGCAUGAGAGGGUUAGUGACUGGGAGACACUGAGUGUCAGACCUCAGUAGCCAGUUGACCAAUGAGUUCAACUUAGCAAGAUCACUUAUUACUAAGGGAAGGUAGGGUUGAAAGUAGUAAGCAAGGUAGGGCCUAGGAAGGGCAGAGUAAGUGAUCACUAGCAACUAGCCACUAUUGUGUGGCUGUUCCUGUUCCUUAGAAUGGGCACUUUGGUUGUGUUUCUUUUGUGCCCUCUCAACCUUGGCUGGAUAUUGCAAUCACUAGGAGCACUGGAAACAACGAAAAUGAAUGCCUGGGCCCCUGCAGAGCUUCUGGUUUAAUUGGAAUGGGUGCAGCCUGGGUGUGGGUGCUCUAUAUCUUCAGAUGCUGGCACAGUGUAGCCUCAGUGGAGCACCACUGGCCUGCCUGAGACCUGAGAUGUUUGGGGUUUACCUGUAGGCUUUACAGAAAAGUUAAAUGGGGCCAGGCGCAGUGGCUCACGCCUGUAAUCCCAGCACUUUGGGAGGCCAAGGUGGGUAGAUCAUGAGGUCAGGAAAUUGAGACCGUCCUGGCUAACACGGUGAAAACCCGUCUCUACUAAAAUUAUAAAAAAUUAGCCAGGCGUGGGGGCGGGCACCUGUAAUCCCAGCUACUCGGGAGUUUGAGGCAGGAGAAUCGCUUGAACCGGGGAGGUGGAGCUUGCAGUGAGCCAAGAUUGCGCCAUUGCACUCCAGCCUGGGCAACAAGAGCAAAACUUCUUCUCAAAAAAAAAAAAAAAGUUAAAUGGUGUUAGAAUAUUUCAGGGGAGGUUCUGAUUAGAUCUAAGAAUGAGCAUAUUAAAUUUAGGAGACUAGAACUUUUUAUGUUGUUGAACUGGAAAAACUUUGGUGGGAAUAGUGGAGCUUACUGAUUUUUUUUUUUUUUUUCCUAAAAAAACCUUAAAAGGAAUAGCAGCCAGGCGCAGUGGCCCAUGCCUGUAAUCUUAGCACUUUGGGAGGCUGAAGCGGGUAGAUCAUGAGGUCAGAAGUUCAAGAACAGCCUGUCCAGCAAGGUGAAACCCUGUCUUUACUAAAAGUACAAAAAUUAGCCCAGAGUGGUAGUAGGCGCCUGUAAUCCCAGCUAUUCAGGAGGCUGAGGCAGAGAAUUGCUUGAACCCAGGAGGUGCAGGUUGCAGUGAGCUGAGAUUGUGCCACUGCAUUCCAGCCUCAAAAAGACAAGAAAAGAAGAAAAAAGAAUAGCUAGAAGGAGGCCAAGGCUGGGUAAAGGAGCAUUGAACUUGACUCCAGUAAGCACUGCUCCCAAGGUGUUUGUUUUACCCAGAGGGAGAGCGAGGAUGGAAAUCAAAAAAUAAAAAUGAUCUGGCUAUAGCUA